UCCGGCGGGGCCGACGGCGGUACGGGGUCGUCCUCGGGCGGCGGUACAGGCAGCUCCGGUUCCAGUUCUGGCUCCGGGUC
Molecule: transfer RNA, 80 nt
Filed under: Streptomyces inusitatus
Lineage: Bacteria; Bacillati; Actinomycetota; Actinomycetes; Kitasatosporales; Streptomycetaceae
Description: tRNA-Pro
Source: RNAcentral